AACGAACGCUGGCGGCAUGCCUAACACAUGCAAGUCGAACGAGACCUUCGGGUCUAGUGGCGCACGGGUGCGUAACGCGUGGGAACCUGCCCUUAGGUUCGGAAUAACUCCCCGAAAGGGGUGCUAAUACCGGAUAAUGUCUUCGGACCAAAGAUUUAUCGCCUUUGGAUGGGCCCGCGUUGGAUUAGCUAGUUGGUAGGGUAAAAGCCUACCAAGGCGACGAUCCAUAGCUGGUCUGAGAGGAUGAUCAGCCACACUGGGACUGAGACACGGCCCAGACUCCUACGGGAGGCAGCAGUGGGGAAUAUUGGACAAGGGGCGAAAGCCUGAGCCAGCAAUGCCGCGUGAGUGAUGAAGGCCUUAGGGUUGUAAAGCUCUGUUACCCGGGAUGAUAAUGACAGUACCGGGAGAAUAAGCUCCGGCUAACUCCGUG
Molecule: ribosomal RNA, 433 nt
Filed under: uncultured bacterium
Lineage: Bacteria
Description: partial 16S ribosomal RNA
Rfam family: Bacterial small subunit ribosomal RNA
Source: RNAcentral